UACGGAGGAUGCGAGCGUUAUCCGGAUUUAUUGGGUUUAAAGGGUGCGCAGGCGGAUUUUUAAGUCAGCGGUCAAAUCGUGGGGCUCAACCCCAUCCAGCCGUUGAAACUGGGGAUCUAGAGUGUGCGAGAGGUAUGCGGAAUGCGUGGUGUAGCGGUGAAAUGCAUAGAUAUCUCGCAGAACCCCGAUUGCGAAGGCAGCAUACCGGUGCACAACUGACGCUCAGGCACGAAAGCGUGGGUAUCGAACAGG
RNAcentral lists this ribosomal RNA (252 nucleotides) under uncultured bacterium. RNAcentral describes it as "partial 16S ribosomal RNA". It matches the Rfam family "Bacterial small subunit ribosomal RNA", at positions 524 to 776 of the family's 1533-position model. The record is from RNAcentral.